Molecule: non-coding RNA, 460 nt
Organism: Parasteatoda tepidariorum (common house spider)
Lineage: Eukaryota; Metazoa; Arthropoda; Arachnida; Araneae; Theridiidae
Source: RefSeq, a predicted model, not a curated record
AGCAUGAUUUUAUGCAAUAUAGCUUUCGUAUAAAUACGCUUGACUAAAAGAGAUACUUUCACAGUGAUUUGUUAUUUCUGGGUCAAUUUCUUCACUUUAUAAAGAUGCAAUCAUUCGUUCUCCUUAUGACAACUGCUUUGGUAGCAUCCAUUCUGAUCCAGGAAACAGCAGCAGACUUUGAUUUCAGUGGCUACUCGCCGAUCUCAAGAAUGACCAGACAGACAGGUGGAAAUUCAUCUAGUCAAACCGUGGAACUUGAUUUAUGUUUGCUGUCUCUGGGUUUAAAGGUUCCAUUGUCAGACCUCGCUCCAAUAUUGCAACCAGUCCUCCAGACUUUAUUGCAGACAGUGAGAAGAACGGUCUAAUUUCAAUGAACAAUGGCGAACUUAAUAUUUGUUGCUAAUCAUUAUGCUAUUGAUCAUUGCGUUUUAUGCAUUUAAAUAAAAUUGUUAAGGAUUAA